RNAcentral lists this non-coding RNA (30 nucleotides) under Mus musculus (house mouse). The record is from RNAcentral. Lineage: Eukaryota; Metazoa; Chordata; Mammalia; Rodentia; Muridae.
UGCUGUGCUGCUUCCUACAAAUUCUUCAAC